AUUGAACGCUGGCGGCAGGCCUAACACAUGCAAGUCGAGCGGAUGAAGGGUGCUUGCUCCUGGAUUCAGCGGCGGACGGGUGAGUAAUGCCUAGGAAUCUGCCUGGUAGUGGGGGAUAACGUCCGGAAACGGGCGCUAAUACCGCAUACGUCCUGAGGGAGAAAGUGGGGGAGCUUCGGACCUCACGCUAUCAGAUGAGCCUAGGUCGGAUUAGCUAGUUGGUGGGGUAAAGGCCUACCAAGGCGACGAUCCGUAACUGGUCUGAGAGGAUGAUCAGUCACACUGGAACUGAGACACGGUCCAGACUCCUACGGGAGGCAGCAGUGGGGAAUAUUGGACAAUGGGCGAAAGCCUGAUCCAGCCAUGCCGCGUGGGUGAAGAAGGUCUUCGGAUUGUAAAGCACUUUAAGUUGGGAGGAAGGGCAGUAAGUUAAUACCUUGCUGUUUUGACGUUACCAACAGAAUAAGCACCGGCUAACUUCGUG
This 484-nucleotide ribosomal RNA is filed under the name uncultured bacterium. RNAcentral describes it as "partial 16S ribosomal RNA". It matches the Rfam family "Bacterial small subunit ribosomal RNA", at positions 30 to 507 of the family's 1533-position model. The record is from RNAcentral.